UCGAAACCUAAUCCGAAAAGGAACGACCUGCGAACGAGUGAUUCCACAUGCGGUGUGUGAGGGGAUCCUCACCGGUCUUCUCACCCACCGAGUCCGCCGAGGCACGUGCGAUCUGUCGAGUCUUCUCGUCAGAUCGCUCGUGUCCCCCGUCGGAAAUCACAAAACCCCGGCGCGGAAAGCGCCAAGGAAUAUAUAACAAAACAGCUCGCUCCGGACGCCCCUUUCAAGGUGUGCAUGCGGAGGUGUUGCUGCGAUAACAAGUCUAAAACGACUCUCGGCAACGGAUAUCUCGGCUCUCGCAUCGAUGAAGAACGUAGCGAAAUGCGAUACUUGGUGUGAAUUGCAGAAUCCCGUGAACCAUCGAGUCUUUGAACGCAAGUUGCGCCCCAAGCCGUCAGGCCGAGGGCACGUCUGCCUGGGUGUCACGCAUCGUCGUCCCCCUCCCACCUGGCGCACUCGCUCGGGUGAGCGUGGAGACGGAGACUGGUCUCCCGUGUGGUACCGCAUGCGGUUGGCCCAAAAUCGAGCCACGGGCGCGGAGCGUCCCGACAAGCGGUGGUGUAUAGAUGCCUCGUGGUAAUGUCGGCCGCUCCCGUCCCUACUGACUCUACGACCCUUAUAGAGCUGCCAUGGCGACUCUCCGAACGCGACCCCAGGUCAGGCGGGACCACCCGCUGAGUUUAA
This 684-nucleotide ribosomal RNA is filed under the name Rorida droserifolia. Its description in RNAcentral is "eukaryotic LSU rRNA". The stretch from base 270 to 425 matches the Rfam family "5.8S ribosomal RNA". The record is from RNAcentral. Lineage: Eukaryota; Viridiplantae; Streptophyta; Magnoliopsida; Brassicales; Cleomaceae.